UGAACGCUGGCGGCGUGCCUAAUACAUGCAAGUCGAGCGAACGGACGAGAAGCUUGCUUCUCUGAUGUUAGCGGCGGACGGGUGAGUAACACGUGGAUAACCUACCUAUAAGACUGGGAUAACUUCGGGAAACCGGAGCUAAUACCGGAUAAUAUUUUGAACCGCAUGGUUCUAAAGUAAAAGACGGUCUUGCUGUCACUUAUAGAUGGAUCCGCGCUGCAUUAGCUAGUUGGUAAGGUAACGGCUUACCAAGGCAACGAUGCAUAGCCGACCUGAGAGGGUGAUCGGCCACACUGGAACUGAGACACGGUCCAGACUCCUACGGGAGGCAGCAGUAGGGAAUCUUCCGCAAUGGGCGAAAGCCUGACGGAGCAACGCCGCGUGAGUGAUGAAGGUCUUCGGAUCGUAAAACUCUGUUAUUAGGGAAGAACAUAUGUGUAAGUAACUAUGCACAUCUUGACGGUACCUAAUCAGAAAGCCACGGCUAACUACGUG
RNAcentral lists this ribosomal RNA (495 nucleotides) under uncultured bacterium. Its description in RNAcentral is "partial 16S ribosomal RNA". It matches the Rfam family "Bacterial small subunit ribosomal RNA", at positions 30 to 507 of the family's 1533-position model. The record is from RNAcentral.